Long non-coding RNA from Hibiscus syriacus, 304 nucleotides. RefSeq lists it as uncharacterized. The record is from RefSeq and is a predicted model, not a curated record. Lineage: Eukaryota; Viridiplantae; Streptophyta; Magnoliopsida; Malvales; Malvaceae. The transcript has 3 exons.
UUAUUAUUUCAUAUUUUCUUCAUCUGCAUCCAUUCAUUUGGUUUUCGUCUCCGAGUUCAACUAGUUUGGAGUUUCAUGGUUGUGGUAAAGUUCAACCUGCGUUGGAUAUAAUAUCCAUCUCGGAAUAAAAGUAAAAUAUAUAGCAAAAACAAUCAUAUAUGAUAUGUAGUCAUAGCUUUUACUUAUUUGUAGUAGAUAAUUAUAUUGGAAUCGGAAUGUAAGCAUUAAGCUGACAUGUAUUAACAUAAGAAGAUUUGGUUUAUCCGGUUUGUUCUAUCAGUUGGGUUAUGUUUCAUUUCAGACU